RNAcentral lists this ribosomal RNA (492 nucleotides) under uncultured bacterium. RNAcentral's name for it is "partial 16S ribosomal RNA". It matches the Rfam family "Bacterial small subunit ribosomal RNA", at positions 29 to 507 of the family's 1533-position model. The record is from RNAcentral.
AGUGAACGCUGGCGGUAGGCCUAACACAUGCAAGUCGAACGGCAGCACAGUAAGAGCUUGCUCUUACGGGUGGCGAGUGGCGGACGGGUGAGGAAUACAUCGGAAUCUACUUUUUCGUGGGGGAUAACGUAGGGAAACUUACGCUAAUACCGCAUACGACCUACGGGUGAAAGCAGGGGAUCUUCGGACCUUGCGCGAUUGAAUGAGCCGAUGUCGGAUUAGCUAGUUGGCGUGGUAAAGGCCCACCAAGGCGACGAUCCGUAGCUGGUCUGAGAGGAUGAUCAGCCACACUGGAACUGAGACACGGUCCAGACUCCUACGGGAGGCAGCAGUGGGGAAUAUUGGACAAUGGGCGCAAGCCUGAUCCAGCCAUACCGCGUGAGUGAAGAAGGCCUUCGGGUUGUAAAGCCCUUUUGUUGGGAAAGAAAAGCAGCAGGUUAAUACCCCGCUGUUCUGACGGUACCCAAAGAAUAAGCACCGGCUAACUUCGUG